This 147-nucleotide ribosomal RNA is filed under the name uncultured eukaryote. RNAcentral's name for it is "partial 18S ribosomal RNA". It matches the Rfam family "Eukaryotic small subunit ribosomal RNA", at positions 1299 to 1458 of the family's 1831-position model. The record is from RNAcentral.
UGGUGGAGUGAUUUGUCUGCUUAAUUGCGAUAACGAACGAGACCUUAACCUGCUAAAUAGUUACGUGAACCUUUGCGUUCGUGGACAACUUCUUAGAGGGACUUUUGUCGUGUUUUUAACCUAAAGGAAAGUUUGUAGGCAAUAACA